UACGGAGGGUGCAAGCGUUGUUCGGAAUUAUUGGGCGUAAAGCGCACGUAGGUGGUCUGGUAAGUCUUUUGGUGAAAGGCCGGGGCUCAACUCCGUGCUUGCCGGGGAUACUGCCAGACUGGAGACAGGUAGAGGCGAGUGGAAUUCCGGGUGUAGCGGUGGAAUGCGUAGAGAUCCGGAAGAACACCAGAGGCGAAGGCGGCUCGCUGGACCUGAUCUGACACUGAGGUGCGAAAGCGUGGGGAGCGAACAGG
This 254-nucleotide unclassified non-coding RNA is filed under the name uncultured Gemmatimonadota bacterium. RNAcentral describes it as "uncultured Gemmatimonadetes bacterium contains 16S-23S intergenic spacer region". It matches the Rfam family "Bacterial small subunit ribosomal RNA", at positions 524 to 776 of the family's 1533-position model. The record is from RNAcentral. Lineage: Bacteria; Pseudomonadati; Gemmatimonadota.